UGGCUCAGUGGUAGAGUGCUUGCCUCGCAAGCAUGAGGCCCUGGGUUCAAUUUCUCAG
Molecule: transfer RNA, 58 nt
Filed under: Dipodomys ordii (Ord's kangaroo rat)
Lineage: Eukaryota; Metazoa; Chordata; Mammalia; Rodentia; Heteromyidae
Rfam family: tRNA
About the family: Transfer RNA (tRNA) molecules are approximately 80 nucleotides in length. Their secondary structure includes four short double-helical elements and three loops (D, anti-codon, and T loops).
Source: Rfam by way of RNAcentral